RNAcentral lists this long non-coding RNA (562 nucleotides) under Camarhynchus parvulus. Its description in RNAcentral is "lncRNA (ENSCPVG00000017506.1)". The record is from RNAcentral. Lineage: Eukaryota; Metazoa; Chordata; Aves; Passeriformes; Thraupidae.
AUGCCCCAUGGCCUCUCCCUUUAUUCGAAUAAAGUUACAGGACUCCUCUGUCUCCUUUUUGGACAUAAACCUCUGACAUCGUGGAUUAAUUCCACACACACUCACCCACCCCGCGUUUUCCCCCUCAUCACCUCCCUGGUGCUGCGCUGCCGCACGCCAGCACUGAGGCCUGCCGCGGAGAACGGAGAGCGGCGCCUGCCGCCGUGUCCCACAAUGCCCCGCGCCGCCGCCGCUCCCGACAGCCCCCGCGCCGCCCUCAGCCGCCGCCGCCGCCGCUCCGGUGGGUCCCGUUUGCGGGGCGGGGGGAAUCUCGUCGGGACCGGGAUCACCGGAAAGGCCCUGGCAUCCGCUGGGCUCCGCCGGGACCUCUCUGAGCCGCGGCGUUGCCUGCAGGUCCCGGACCCCCCGCGGCGAGCAGAGGAAAUGACUCUGCCUGGCACCAGCAGCAGGAGGAGAAACUGAGGCAGUACUGGGAAUCCAUGGACACCUUACUGGGGGGGGUGCCACCCGCCCAGGUGCUGUCCCUGACCAGCAUCAUCCUGGUGGCCAAUCCCAACGUGGA